GUGAACUUCAGGAGGGGAAGAGAGGAAGUGCGCUGGGCAAAGAGGAAACGAUGUCACAGGACACACUUUUGCUGUCUUUGCUGCUGUCGCCUAAGAGGUGGACACAGCUCCCGAGGACUUACGCUAGAAGCCAAGCCAGUCUCCUCACCUGAAAAAUGGGAAGAGCAAAAUAUCCUACCCUAGAGGGUUGCUGUGAGAGCCGAAAGCGUCUAUCCACGUGAAGCACAUGGGACAGAGCCUGGCACAAAGAAAAUGCUUCCCAGCUCCAUCAGCCCACCGCCCCCUCUGGCCUUCCCUCAAGAGCAGCCACUGGGCCUUGGUUGCCAUGGAGACAGUUUCCCUCAGAGGCUUUGCCUCCCAUCUUCUUUUCUUUUCUUUUCUUUUUUCUUUUUUUUUAAUUUGAGACAAGAUCUCGCUUUGUCACCCGGCCUG
This 432-nucleotide long non-coding RNA is filed under the name Homo sapiens (human). Its description in RNAcentral is "HSALNT0349670". The record is from RNAcentral. Lineage: Eukaryota; Metazoa; Chordata; Mammalia; Primates; Hominidae.